AUACGAAGUGGCAAUCCUAGAUUUCUAGGUAGAGGGCAGUUAUGCUUUCUUGUAUGCCCACAAUGUAUUUCUUUAUUGCUUUUACAUUCCACCUUUCUUCCAGUUCCACAGACGGCAAGGAGAGAUGUUUAUUCCAGCUGCCAUCAAUUUAUUUAAGGCGAAGUUGAUGGUCCAAAUGUUAUAUGGGGUGCAGUCAGGACCCUAUAGCAAUUACACACUUUUGGAGGAGGUCCAAGCCAGGUUUUUAGGAGCACUAUUUCUGACCCCUAACUGUAUUUCUAACAGCACUGUGAAACUGGAAUAUGGUGUUAUUAUGAUUGAGUCCAGAGCCUGGUAUUUAAUACUAAUAACCUGGGUAAGAAUCAACUUAACGUCCUUCAGUCUCCUGUCAUUAUUAUCAGAUAGACACGGCUUGAGUUGGCGGGAGAACUGCAUAAGGAAAUUCUGCAGAAAUGGUCUUUUGCCAGAAGCAAUCCUCUCAGUGGGAUUGGAAAAGGCCAAAGAACUUAUCGAACAAAGGAUUCGUGAUAUCGAGAUUCAGAAUGACCUGACGAGGACACCUGGGGUAUUCCAGCUGCUUAGUGGUGCAUUGAUAACUCACCCAACAGAUUGAAGUUCUUCUCAUGAUUGGUGAGAAGAGCUUCUUCCAGGUCUGUGGGGAGAGUGGGUUCAGCUUGCUAUCCCCGAAGAUGAUCAAAAGGCAGCCCCGGGUGGCUGGAUCGGCCGCCCACAUGACUUCCAGCUCCAUCAUGGAGCCAGCGGGGGCUGUGGGGAUCCAUGCAGCCACCAGAAGUUCCAGGAUGCCCAGUGCAAGUGUGCAGGGCAUUCUGGAGAGACCCCCAAGCCCAGGAGGCUGCUUGCAGCCUCCCAGUCUCGGGUCUACUCAUGUGUUGCUGCAUGCCAUGGCAACACACGAGGAAAAAAAUGGAGCACUCACUACGUUAACCUAAUUUAAAGGGAGGGGGAAUUAGGGGGCGCUACUCGCCUUGGGAGCACCAGGCUUGCCUGUGAGCCCCGGUGGGUCCCAUGAUCCCAGGAAAGGGGGAUAAGCUCCCCUAGCCUGCUUUCCAGGAGUUGUGGGAAUAGCCUUGUUAUCUAACCUUCCUUAAAUAUAGAUGGGCUUUCCUGAGGGCCCUCCCCUCAGAAUUACUAACUGGGUAGAUAUAGUAGGGUAGAGAAAGCCAAAGAUUACCAGAAAGAAGUCAGUAUGUGCUUUAUUGACUACAGAGAAGCCUUUGAUUGCGUUGACCAUGUCACGUGGAAUAUCCUUAGGAAAAUGGGCAUCCCAGAACACCUCAUUGUUCUCAUGAGAAACCUAUACACAAGGCAGGAAGCCACAGUCCAGACAGAACAUGGUGAAACAGACUAGUUCCAGAUUGGGAAAGGAGUAAGACAAGGCUGUAUACUUUCUCCUUAUUUAUUCAAUUUAUAUGCUGAACAUAUACUGAGAGAAGCUGGAUUGGAAGAAGAUGAGUGUGGUUUUAAAGUUGGAGGAAGAAACAUCAAUAACCUGCGCUAUACUGAUGUCACCACUGUGAUAGCUGAGAAUGCGGAUGAUCUGCAAGUUCUAAUAAUGAAGGUCAAGGAGCACAGUGAAAAAAUGGGACUACAAUUAAAUGUAAAGAAGACUAAACUAAUGACAAUGGGUAUGGCAACCAGCCUCAGAACUGACAGUGAAGAUACUGAAGUGGUGCAUAGCUUCUGCCUUUUAGGAUCGACCAUCAACAGUAAAGAAUCCAGCAGUCAAGAAAUACACCACAGACUAGCAGUUGGUGAGGUUGUAAUGAAGGCCUUGGAAAGGAUAUUUAGAUGCUGUGAUGUGUCUACAAAGAUUAGAAUCAUUUGGACUGUGGUUUUUCUCGUGACACUCUAUGGAUGCAAAAGCUGGACUUUGAAGAAGCAAGAUAGAAAAAGUAUUGACGCUUUUGAACUUUGGUGCUGGAGAAGACUUUUGAGGAUACCAUGGACAGCCAGGAAAACAAACAAAUGGAUCACAGAACAAAUCAAUCCAGAAUUUUUACUAAAGGCACAAAUGACCAGGCUCAAACUAUCAUACUUCAGACACAUUAUGCGAAGACCCAGCUCGCUUGAGAAGUCCAUAAUGCUGUGGAAAGUUGAAGGAAAGAGAAGAAGAGGACCACCAGCAGCAAGGUGGAUGGACUCAAUUACGACAGCAAUGAAUGCACCACUUUGAGACCUUAAAGGCCAAGUUGAAGACAGAUCAUCCUGGAGAGAAUCUAUCUGUGUGCUAUUGCUAAGAGUCGACACCGACUUGAUGGCACUUAAUCAAUCAAUCAAUCAGAUAUAGUAGAAUUCCAAUAGAGCAGAGAUAUUGCCUCUGCAAUUCAGAAGAGAUUGAGUCAGUUGCACAUGUGAUCUUGUGCCAUGCACACUUAGGCUUCCGGCAAACAUUAAUCGAUCCUGUUCGACAAAACCUUCCAGGUCAAUCAGACAAAUUGUAUGUCAAAUGUUUCCUAAUAGAUAUGAAUUCAAUCAUAUUCAAUCAUAUACUCAGUUCAGAAAUUUUGUUGCUCUACAAUACAAGUUCGACAUAUUCUGCCCGUGAAUGGCUAGAACGAAUGUACAGAUAUGUUAUUAGUAUAGCUGUGUUCAAAUUAUAUAACUGUUUUAGGUAUACCGAUAUUAGCUAAAGACCUUAAUAAAGACUGACUGAUUGACUGACUGACACCUUUCUUCUAUCAUGGAGCUCAGUGCGGCAUACAAUGUGGAAUUCCUCAGUGUGGGAUACCCAGGGAGUCACCUAUUCAGGCACUGACCAGACCAUACCUUGGGAAUGUUGAUCUCAAAUGGAAAUUUGAAUGUACAUUUCUUCACACCUGAAAACAAGCCAAUGCAUGCAGCUUAAUCUUUUGCACAUAUGCUUGGAAAUUUAAUGGGACUUACUUUCAUGACUUUCCUAUCACACAAAUCAUCUUGCAAUUCCAUCAUAGAUUCCAGUGAGAACAAAGGAAAAGUUUCACCAUGUGACAAAAUCAGGAACAUUAUUAUUUUAAAAGGAAAAUUCUUCUGAAUAGCAUCGAACAAAAAAGAGUGCCUAUUCCCUUGAUUCCUUAAUAAUACUUGUCAGUCAGACUCCACAAUGAGUUAAUCUCACUUUCUACAGAAACUUAUUUCUGUUCCGAAAGGCUCUCUGCUAUUUGCUAUAACUCAUCUGGUCUUGGCAUUGGAACCAACUAGAGCUUUUGUUUCAGAAAGGGUGUGGUGUGGAUUGUGAGUGCGGGAAUAUCAACGGCUCCACUGGUCUCCACAAUAUCAUUCAAGACGAGCUGCAUAUUGCUCCCUACGGUAGAAAUUCAACCAGUGGAGCUUUCUCAGCACGGAGAUACAAAGAGGGGGAUUCAAUGGCCAUGGUACAAGGCACAGAAACCCUGCUAUCAAAAAAGUUACAAUCCAGUCAUGGUCUCUGACAGAAAAAGAAAGACUAGUAUGAAAAGGCCAACGUCAGUUUCCUCUCAUCUGUCUGCCAAGUUUGUCUACCCUAAGAGAUGUCCUAAGCCUUUGCAGGUGGUUGGUGAGCUGAGGGUAGGAAAGAAAACCUGCCGGCUGAAAUACUGAAUGGACAUGGAAGGCACAGUUGAGGCCAAGCUUUCCAGUCUGCUUACAGGCUAGUUUUUAAUUCCUGUCCAAGACCAUGUGGCAGGAAAGUGGUGGGGGAAGAGGUCAGUACCAGGCCAGCUGAAAUUUGUAGGGGAGAUGUACCCCACCUGCCCGCGUACACAUGGUCUCCUUCAGCUCAGUUCCUGUCCUGGAAGGAAGCUGGCCUGGCUUCUGGGAGGCUGGAGUCUUCUUCUUCUUCUACUACUACUACUACUACUACUACUACUACUAUUACUACUAAAGGCAGACAACAACAGAAAAACCUGUGGAUUAGUGUGACAGCAAUGUUUAAGAAGAAUUUGGUAUCAUGUGCCUCUGAGCAUAUGCAGUACAAAUAACAGCUAAAUGUGCCACCCUCCUGGACUGCUGCCCUUACUAAGCCUCCCAGCAAGUUGAUACCAUCAGUCACCUUGAAAGCAUGUCUUAUUUUAACUGAAAAUAAAUAAUAUAAAACAUAA
Hemicordylus capensis (graceful crag lizard) is the source of this 4076-nucleotide long non-coding RNA. RefSeq lists it as uncharacterized. The transcript is spliced from 9 exons. NCBI's taxonomy places the organism in Eukaryota, Metazoa, Chordata, Lepidosauria, Squamata, Cordylidae. The record is from RefSeq and is a predicted model, not a curated record.